This 387-nucleotide unclassified non-coding RNA is filed under the name soil metagenome. RNAcentral's name for it is "partial contains 5.8S ribosomal RNA, internal transcribed spacer 2, and large subunit ribosomal RNA". The stretch from base 1 to 120 matches the Rfam family "5.8S ribosomal RNA", at positions 35 to 154 of the family's 154-position model. The record is from RNAcentral.
GAUGAAGAACGCAGCGAAAUGCGAUAAGUAAUGUGAAUUGCAGAAUUCAGUGAAUCAUCGAAUCUUUGAACGCACCUUGCACCCUUUGGCAUUCCGAAGGGUAUGCUCGUUUGAGUGUCAUUGUACUCUCACACUCUCCGAUCCUAUGGAUUCGGGGAGCGGUGGACUUGGGUGUUGCUGCCUUUCCUUGUGGCUCACCUCAAAUGUGUCAGUGCACCUCUUGGUUGGACAUAGUACGGCGUGAUAAGUGUCUUCGCCGGCACCUCGCAAGAGGGUGGCCGAUCGGGAGCUCUGUGCUUUCAAACCGUCUUCGGACAAUUUCUGACAACUUGACCUCAAAUCGAGUAGGACUACACGCUGAACUUAAGCAUAUCAAUAAGCGGAGGA